RNAcentral lists this ribosomal RNA (305 nucleotides) under uncultured bacterium. RNAcentral's name for it is "bacterial SSU rRNA". It matches the Rfam family "Bacterial small subunit ribosomal RNA", at positions 333 to 631 of the family's 1533-position model. The record is from RNAcentral.
AUAUCCCUACGGGGCGCAGCAGUAGGGAAUCUUCCACAAUGGGCGAAAGCCUGAUGGAGCAACGCCGCGUGGGUGAAGAAGGUCUUCGGAUCGUAAAACCCUGUUGUUAGAGAAGAAAGUGGGUGAGAGUAACUGUUCACGUUUCGACGGUAUCUAACCAGAAAGCCACGGCUAACUACGUGCCAGCAGCCGCGGUAAUACGUAGGUGGCAAGCGUUAUCCGGAUUUAUUGGGCGUAAAGGGUGCGUAGGCGGCCUGCUAAGUCUGGAGUGAAAGGUACCGGCUCAACCGGUACAGGCUCUGGAA